GACGAACGCUGGCGGCGUGCUUAACACAUGCAAGUCGAACGGAAAGGCCCUGCUUUUGUGGGGUGCUCGAGUGGCGAACGGGUGAGUAACACGUGAGUAACCUGCCCUUGACUUUGGGAUAACUUCAGGAAACUGGGGCUAAUACCGGAUAGGAGCUCCUGCUGCAUGGUGGGGGUUGGAAAGUUUCGGCGGUUGGGGAUGGACUCGCGGCUUAUCAGCUUGUUGGUGGGGUAGUGGCUUACCAAGGCUUUGACGGGUAGCCGGCCUGAGAGGGUGACCGGCCACAUUGGGACUUAGAUACGGCCCAGACUCCUACGGGAGGCAGCAGUGGGGAAUAUUGCACAAUGGGCGGAGGCCUGAUGCAGCAACGCCGCGUGCGGGAUGACGGCCUUCGGGUUGUAAACCACUUUCGCCUGUGACGAAGCGUGAGUGACGGUAAUGGGUAGAGAAGCACCGGCUAACUACGUG
RNAcentral lists this ribosomal RNA (468 nucleotides) under uncultured bacterium. Its description in RNAcentral is "partial 16S ribosomal RNA". It matches the Rfam family "Bacterial small subunit ribosomal RNA", at positions 28 to 507 of the family's 1533-position model. The record is from RNAcentral.